CAGCCGCCGCGGUAAUACCGGCGGCCCGAGUGGCGGUCACUAUUAUUGGGCUUAAAGCGUCCGUAGCCGGGUUGGGAAGUCCUCCGGGAAAUCUGGCCGCUUAACGGUCAGAAUGCCGGAGGAUACUCCCAGCCUAGGGAGCGGGAGAGGCCGAGGGUAUUCCCGGAGUAGGGGUGAAAUCCUAUAAUCCCGGGAGGACCACCUGUGGCGAAGGCGCUCGGCUGGAACGCGUCCGACGGUGAGGGACGAAGGCCAGGGGAGCAAACCGGAUUAGAUACCCGGGUAGUCCUGGCUGUAAACGAUGCCCACUAGGUGUGGGGGAGUAUUUCCUCCGUGCUGUAGCUAACGCGUUAAGUGGGCCGCCUGGGGAGUACGCCCGCAAGGGUGAAACUUAAAGGAAUUGGCGGG
This 408-nucleotide ribosomal RNA is filed under the name uncultured microorganism. RNAcentral's name for it is "bacterial SSU rRNA". It matches the Rfam family "Archaeal small subunit ribosomal RNA", at positions 459 to 872 of the family's 1478-position model. The record is from RNAcentral.